UUGCUUUACCUCUUCACUUCACCUGGCUUUGGCACCUCUGUCAUUUCUUCAUUUACUGUUUUUUCUAGCAUACUUUUAACUUCUUUCUGUACUUUCUCUUUCCAACUGCUGUCCACAUGCCACCUGUGUAUAGAAUCCCAAGAAAACAUAACCCACCAUUAGAAUUUUAGUUGCUAAACUAUAUAAGAACUUUGAGCUGUAGAUUAACAUCCUCUACCUUCCUUUGGUGCCAUUUGUUUACCCCUUUUUCCGAACAAAAAACAAUACCUGCCCCUGUUCCAAAGGUGUCUUACUAUUCCAAUAAAGAAUGCAUGCCUGGGAAUAAAAAGAAGCUUAGACUACUGUUCCAAUGGAGCUAAGUGUUCAAAGAAAUUCCUGAAUUCAUUUCCUGGGGGAAAAAAUGUGGUUAGUGACCUGGAAACUACUAACAACUUAUAAAACUCAAUACUCUGAUGGCGACUCUGUUCGCUUUACCCCUAAGACAUCUUGAAAGGAAAGACUUUUGUCAGAGUUGGGCUUCUAAAGUUUUAAUAGGAAAUUGAG
RNAcentral lists this long non-coding RNA (543 nucleotides) under Homo sapiens (human). RNAcentral's name for it is "HSALNT0074311". The record is from RNAcentral. Lineage: Eukaryota; Metazoa; Chordata; Mammalia; Primates; Hominidae.